Molecule: long non-coding RNA, 256 nt
Filed under: Mytilus galloprovincialis (Mediterranean mussel)
Lineage: Eukaryota; Metazoa; Mollusca; Bivalvia; Mytilida; Mytilidae
Source: RNAcentral
GUCGGACCCAUUAAAAAUAUGCCUUUUUCAUUAAGCGAAAAAAAUAGACGAUCUUUUUCAACUGCAUUUUAAGUCAAUUUGAGCCGCAUGACCCUAUAUAUUUUUUUAGUUGUUAUGCAACACUGGCAUUUCUAGUAACAGGAACGGCUACCCGUUUUUCCCUAAUUUGUGUAGUCUUCGAGAAAAAAAAUACGGAACACUAGUGGUACCCUAUGGAAAAUGCAUAACGAAUAAUUGCGCUCUUGUAACCAUAAGA